UGGGGAAUCUUGCACAAUGGGGGCAACCCUGAUGCAGCGACGCCGCGUGAGCGAUGAAGCCCUUCGGGGCGUAAAGCUCUUUCGACCGGAACGAUAAUGACGGUACCGGGAGAAGAAGCUGCGGCUAACUACGUGCCAGCAGCCGCGGUAAUACGUAGGCAGCAAGCGUUGUUCGGAGUUACUGGGCGUAAAGAGUGCGUAGGCGGUUUUCUAAGUUCGGUGUGAAAUCUCCCGGCUUAACUGGGAGGGUGCGCCGAAGACUGGGAAGCUGGCGUGUGGGAAAGGCAGGCGGAAUUCCUGGUGUAGCGGUGAAAUGCGUAGAUAUCAGGAGGAACACCGGCGGUGUAGACGGCUUGCUAGACCAUAACUGACGCUGAGGCACGAAAGCGUGGGUAGCAAACA
RNAcentral lists this ribosomal RNA (402 nucleotides) under uncultured bacterium. RNAcentral's name for it is "bacterial SSU rRNA". It matches the Rfam family "Bacterial small subunit ribosomal RNA", at positions 355 to 774 of the family's 1533-position model. The record is from RNAcentral.